CCAAUUCUUUAUGAUGCAGACAUAGGGAGGCUACCUUUUAUAAUAGAGGAAAAAUUAUAUAGAGAACUGAGCAAGUGAAGAUCUGGGGGUCAGACUUCUGGUCCCCAUUAAGGGCAUUACUGCUGAUAUAUUGAAAAAUCUUAGAGGAAUAAUGUUAUGGAAGCUGACUUUUGGUAGCCAUAGUUCUAAAAACGAUGAAAUGCGGGGUUUCACAAGGGAACCCUAUGUGGGUGUAUCUAAGUACAAAGCACUGUCAUUACUUUGUGGUGAGAGCUGUGAUGAUUGGUUAUUUUGUAUAGAACUCUGGAGAUCCAUUGGUUGUUGGGAUGAAAGAAUGAAUCCAUUAGCAUCUGAGAACCUCAUAAAACCUGAGAUCCCUUGUUAGCCUGGCCAUGAGGAACACAGAAUGCAUAUGGCAUCCAACAGGAUCUUUUCUAUGGGGAUAUCUUGGGUGGUUACAUCAAGUUCAUGCAGAAUAGGCAGGGGCUUCACUUUUUCCCCUUAGUUUGUUGGGCAAGUUGACACUUCUAUUUCUGUUGGGGACAUGGGAGGGAAAAGGGCUGUUUGAGUUGUGUGAGGGCAUUUCACUGGGAGAUGGACUUAGAGAAAAGGAGCCUCAGCUGGAAGACAAUGAUGAAGCCAAUUCAGAGAUUGGGGAAUGGGCAAGGGGCUGAGAGGGUCUAUGGUCUUACCUUCCUACCAGCUGUGGCCAAUUCUUUAUAUGGUGACAAGUAAUCAAAUGGCAACCAGAGACCAUAUUCUGCAAGGCCAAAUACAGAGCAGGAAGGCUGACAGGCAGCAUAGCUUUCUCUUGCCUUAUAGCUACUGCAAGUCAGUCCCAACAUAUUGGCACAAAAUAAUUUAUCUGAAAUAACUGAUCAAGGUAACUAGGAGUAGUUACAGCUGCUUUUGGAUCCCCUCCAGAGAGGUGCUCUUUCUCCCUGUUCCUGUAUCCCCUCUUCUAUGUCCCCCUCUCCUGAUCUCCAAGCCUGAUCUCUGACCAUAUUGUCAGAUUAGAUUCAGUUUAUUAUAUCCCUGAUUUUCACCCAUGUGUGUGAAAGGCCCUUACGUGUCUGCCAGGAUGAGAUUUUCAGGAUCCAUCAAAUCCCGUCCCUCUUGCUGCAUCCUCACUCUCCUCUAGUUUUGUGCAAUUGUAAGUAACCAAGCUAAUUUGCCCUACAUGGUGUUUCUAAAUGACAUAAAAAACCUACAGUCUUUCAAGCCUGACUGCUGUCUAUUGAUAUUAAUUUUUGCUGAAAUAUUUACACAGACAUACACGGGCCUUAGAUUACCAGGAAGAGUUAGUAACAACAACAAUAACAACAAACAGCUUUUUGUUUGGAAGGGAGGCAAGGGGCUUAGGAAUUCUUGUUUCUUUUCUCUGAAUAGCUUUAGUAAUUCCCAAUUACUAAAUAAAGCAGGAGAAAAGAGGAAGAAAGAUAGGGCGAGGGAAAGGAACAAAAGAGGAAAAGAAAGAGAAGGAAGGGGAGGAGGAGUAGAAGGAAAGAGAAGACAGAAAGACAAAGGCAGAGAGAGCAAUUUAAAGAGAAAAACAAAGGUGAAAGAGAAAAGGAAUCAAUUUCUACAAAGGAGAGUAAAACAAAACGUUAUUCCUAAUAAGUUUAUGCCUAUUAAAAAGGAAGUGGGGAUGAGACACAGCUGAGCCACUGAAACAGUCUCAUCAAUCACAGUGGCUCACAGCUGUAAUCUCAGCACGAACGGGUGAACCAAGGAAACUGCACUCAAAGAAAUGUCUUGUAACGGCUCUAACUUUGGUUUGGCAUGUCACCUUUCUAACGAUAAAUUGCCAUAUAGGUAGAAAUCCAUUCCCUGCUCUAAAGCCCAACUAAGGUUAUCUGUAGUUCCACUGUUCCUUGCUCUUAGGCAAUUAAGUCAUCACAUAGGUGAAACAUGUCAUUUCAAUGGAAGAGAAGAAGUGGGUGCUUUUAAAGCCUUUUCUUUCCAACCUAUGAACCCCACAACCAACUCCGAGAUGCUGGUAGGCAGUUAAUUUCUCCAUUUUGCCAGAAGAUAAAGUUUAAGCUUAAACAAAGACAGCUCUUCUGUUGCCCAACAGUGGAAGUGCAGAGGCCGGAAAGUACGAGGUGUAGAAGAGGGAGCUAUGAGAAAGAGCAGAUGGGAAGAUGGGGACGGAACAGAAGAAAGCUAUUAUGUCAAGAA
RNAcentral lists this long non-coding RNA (2181 nucleotides) under Homo sapiens (human). RNAcentral's name for it is "non-protein coding lnc-PANK3-16:1". Lineage: Eukaryota; Metazoa; Chordata; Mammalia; Primates; Hominidae. The record is from RNAcentral.